GAAUCCGCUAAGGAGUGUGUAACAACUCACCUGCCGAAUGAAUUAGCCCUGAAAAUGGAUGGCGCUCAAGCGGGCGGCCGACACCACGCCGUCUGGACAAGAAAAGAUUCAGAUGAGUAGGAGGGCGUGGCGGUUGUUUCGAAGCGCCUGUGCAAACGGGUGUGGAACGGCCGCUAGUGCAGAUCUUGGUGGUAGUAGCAAGUAUUCAAGCGAGAUCCUUGAAGGGCGAAGCGGGGAAGGGUUCCACGCGAACAUUGAUUGGGCGUGGGUGAGUCGUUCCUAAGCCGAGUGGCAAUUGCUAAGUAGCGGCGAAAGGGAAGCGGGUUGAAAUUCCCGCACACGGAUGUGGAGGCGGUGACGCUUAUUGAGACAAACACGUUGGCGAUGGCGCUGGGCAGAGUUGUCUUUUCUGUUUGACCUGUGGUGCGCUGUGUGGAAUCCGAUUGUUGGGAGAAACACGCGUGUGUGGGCAGAGCGCCGGGGUUUUUCCGGCGUCCAGCUCGCCAUCGACGACCCUUGAAACUUUGUCUGCUGAAUGAAUCCACGCCGUGGCGUACCGAUUACCGCAUCAGGUCCCCAAGGUGAACAGCCUCUGCUCAAUAUGAACAAUGCAGGUAAGGGAAGUCGGCA
RNAcentral lists this ribosomal RNA (630 nucleotides) under Gigartinales sp. ARS-2011. RNAcentral's name for it is "eukaryotic LSU rRNA". It matches the Rfam family "Eukaryotic large subunit ribosomal RNA", at positions 1264 to 1919 of the family's 3401-position model. The record is from RNAcentral. Lineage: Eukaryota; Rhodophyta; Florideophyceae; Gigartinales.